RNAcentral lists this non-coding RNA (21 nucleotides) under Arabidopsis thaliana (thale cress). Lineage: Eukaryota; Viridiplantae; Streptophyta; Magnoliopsida; Brassicales; Brassicaceae. The record is from RNAcentral.
CGUUGAUUCGCACAAUUGGUC